CUUUAGAGGGGAAGAUGAAAACAGUCAAAAAUCCAGGCUACGAUGACUCUUGAUGUCUGAAAGAGGAAGAAUUUCCUGAGUUUGCUGACUGCUCCCGUCCUCUCCCUGCAGACACCUGUGAAUAUCUGCUCCAGGGAGAAAAGAGGUUCUUCACCUCAUAUAACACCAUUUUUAUGCUUAUUACUGUUGAUGCGAUUGAACCUCUACCACAGUCUGAUUUUGGAUGCCUGUGCCCAUGGAGACUGGAGAACAUCAGCUGUUCAUAGAGAGAGCAGAACUAGAAUUACCUUUGGCUGCAGAGGGGAUCUGGGACGUGGUGGCUGAGGAGAGCACAGUGUGCUUGUACGCAGGAUAGUUUUAUAGUAUUUUUUUUUCUAAGUAGUUUCCAGGCUCUAACAGCCCCACCGGACCAGUUUCUACUCCUGUUCCUUAUGCAAUCCUUCACUUUGGUUCCACGUCCACUUUUUAUUCUGCAAUAUCUGAACACCCCCUGGUGUAUGUGCAGUAGCACCACUGCCAUGCUGCUCAGUGCCUGGGGACAACACAGGGGCUGCCCACCGGGGUCGGAGCUGCUGGAGGAUCCCACAGCAGCCUCCCAUCCUCGGCUGCUCAUCAAACUGUCCCUUGGAUGGAGCACAAGGAAGAGCGCAGGCUUGGAGUCCCCACGUAGAUGGGAAAACACUGAAAAUAAUUUCUGUUUCAAUGGAGGCAUAGGGGUGCGUGUAACAAGGUAGACUGGGCAAUGCGCACGUAAUGUGGAGCCAGAAUCUAAAAACCAGGAGGAAAGGAAGUUUCUUUCUUUUAUUCUUCUUUGUGUUCCUGGAGGCAGGACUCUGAUGGAAGUUGUCAUGCUGCAAGUUUCUGCUCAGCAAAUGUCAGACUGUUUACUUUUAAGCAAAGCAAAUCAGGAAAGGAGGGAAAAGGCGAUAAUGUUAAUUGACUUUUAUUACUUCUUGUAUAUAGAAAUUAAAGGCAAGGUUAAGAAAGCCUGAAUCCCUCAUUGGGUCCUUCUAGCAUCAGGUUUACCUCUGAAAGGAAAGAAAUCUCAGGUUAUGAUCCACACUGAGGCACGGGCAUGGAGAAGUCCCAGGGAGAUUAAUGCUGUGAUAUUGCAGCAGGAGAGGUUGCUGGAUCCAUGGUGAAGUUGUUGGGUCUGGAGUGCUUUAGUGGAGGCUGUUGCAUUUUGAUGGGGGACAGUCUCUGUCAAAAGAGAGUGGUGAAAAAUCUGUGAGACAGUAGCAGUUGCAGAUGUAGGAAGAGAUUUUGAGGAGUGGGUUGUUGCUGAACUGAAGAGGAAUAAAAGCAGGAGAAUGACAUUAGCAUAUAAUUUCUGGCAGUUGUUACAGCGCAUAAUAACUUCAAUUUAAAAGCUUCUCAUUUCCCUCACUUUGUGCCUUAUUAAGUCUCCAACCUAUAUUUAAUGGUAGGAAUAUCACUUUUGCUUCCCUAAUUCUGUGCAUGCAAUUGAUCUCUGUAACCUGCUAGAUCUCCACUUGGAUUUCCAAAGUAUACGAGGGCUCUCACUUGUGUCUCAAGAGGUGCAAAAUUAUAACUCAGCCCUCUUUUGUGGUGCAUGUGCUACUUUGGUCCUUUGCUUCCUUGUGGUAGGAGCAGAGUAAUGGAAGAGUGGUUUUGAUGCAUCUCAGAUAUUUGUCAUGUUUCCAGGGGCGUUUUCAGCAUGGCAGGUUUCCCCUAUAUGUAUAUAAGUACAAAUUUCAUAUUUAAAAAAUAAAAUAAAAUCCCACAUUUAAUUAUUUUAUGACACAAACUGUUUUCAUAAAAAUGAAGCUUGUGCAAAUGCAUCAUUUGGCAAGUUUUCUUUGAAUCCAUAGGCUACUCACAUUUUGUAUAGAUUGGCCGUUUCUACCCUUGCUGAACAAGUCAGUGCCAACUGCUGCUUUCAUUUUCCUGUCUGUAGUUGUGCUGUAGAUCUCUUCCAAGAUAUAUUUUUUCUGAUGUGACUCACCCAGCUUCGUAUGGGAAAGUGCAGCUUAUUCAAACUAUUCUAAAUCUAUUUAUCGAGGCAAAUAUUUGGACAUCUGAAACAGUAGUAAAGUGCUAAGAAGUCUAUCAGGGCAGGAGAGCACACAAAAUCUGUGAAAUUUUAAGUCGCUACCUAGUGUGCUUUAUCUGGAGGCAUUAAUUGGCAAAGAGCAGUGUAGAAAUUUUGAUUCAUACACUCACACGUGCCCAUGCAGUGAGCGAAAGCUGUGUUUAUGUUUGAGCUCCAUUUUCCCAGCAAUAAAUUUAGGCUUACUGCGCUGUCAGAUGCUUCACCACCACGAAGGGGCUUUGACGUUAGGUAGCUGCGUUUAGACCUCUCCUGUGUCACUGGUUCAGUCUCUAAAAGCCAUGAGUUGUUGUGAGCUGAUGGCUCUCUAAUGGAGUCCUCAAAACCAGCUCGCAGCACAGUCAAACUCUUGAAAUUAUGUUUUAUCCAGAAUAAAUUUGGUCAAAAAUUCCAGUUUAAAUUUUGUUCAGUUUCAAUAGGUCUUGACAAUUACAUGCUCUCAUCACGGAAGAAAGCUCAGGAGAAGAUCCUCCUGUCUCCCAAGCAAGACUAACCUCUAGUUUCUAGAGACUCGCACUCUAAACCAUUGUCAGAGGCUACUGGAGCCCGAACAGGGUGAUGGGAGGUAUAAAUGGCCAUGUAAGUGGUUAGGAAUUUGACAAGAUUUCCUUGCUGAUAGGGCUACAGAUGUGAAAGACUGGGCUUUGUUCUCCUGUUUUGGUUUUAAACUUCUGGCUGCCUGAAUUCAAGUAUUUCUUCAUGAUUCUGUAAUGAAGUCAGAGGUCUGAAUUCAUGUGUUGUUUUUUAUUUGCAUUUUUACUACAGUUAGUCUCAUUUCCUUGUUGCUAAAGGCCAUUAGUGAGGAGUUGGAUGGCUUGUCUAGGUUUCUGCUUUUUGUAAUUUUCCAAAGCUCUAUACAUAAUAAAUCAGGCACACAUUUUUGCUUCUGCAAUUAACUAAUCCACAAUGCAACAGGAACAGUAGAAUUGAUUGAAUAUGUCAAGAUUUAAGCCUCAAGAAAAAAAAAAAACACACCAAAAAUAAACCUAUUUGUGGCGGUGCUUCUCAAAAUGGUCCUCAUUCUUACACGGAUCUAGCCAUAAAAUUAGGACAAGUAAAGGAUUUUGCCACUACAUCACCCUCCAGCCAGUACUAACCUGUGCUUGAAAUGAACUUUUGAUGUGAAACAUUCAUCUCUGCAGCACACAUGGCUUCACCUUUCUAUUCAUCUCACCUACAGAUGACAACUCACCUUGCUUCCAUUAAGAACCUGCUUUCUGGGCUGGAAUUGCAGAAUGGUUUCUGCUGAAGGUGUAUGCAGAAGUUGGGGCCAUAUCCCACCUGAAACCAGGAAAACAGCAGUCAUCGCAGUGAGGACCACACGUUUUUGUGCCCAAACACCAAAUAGGAGAUGACUACUCAGGGAAAGUCAAGAAUUCUUUUCGGCUGGUGUCAGAUACAGAAAUGCUAAGAAAAUUAACUUCAAGGAUUUAAGGAACCCCAAAUCCUUCCAGUUCUAUCCACACCCAAACCUCUUCUGAAGCAGCUGGAUCUGGCUAACCACCAGGAUGAGCUGGGAUGGGCCUUGGACCAUGGCUUUCUUGGAGCACAACAAGCCCACACCAAAUGUCAGCGUUGGUCCUUGGUGGGAUUGGAAUUUUGAAGUGCUUUGGAAAUCCAGUUGCUCUUUUUGAGAGCUUAGGCUCCCCAAAAGCUGCUGUACCUGAGCUAAGUGUCUACCACAGGUCAAGGCCUUGGCCAUGAAGUCCUCCUCUCCCCAGGGAGCACAUCUCUUGGCACGCUCAGUGGAUGCAGUGCCAGCUUGGGACGGGCUGACAGAUCCCCGAGUGCUUGCAUGCACUGGGCAGAAUAAUGGGACGUAGUUAUGAGUGUGUGCAAGGCGUAGGGAGGUGUUGCUGUUCAUUAACCUCUUUUCAGUGCAGAGCUGCUCUUGAAGUCAUCUUCCUUGCUUGCAUCUCCCCUGGGAGGACAAGCUCCCAGGCGGCACGGAGUGACUUCAGCUGGGGCACGAACCCAUGGCUCCUGGAAGCACCUCGGCUGUGCCAACCAGACAGAGCUCCAGGACACGGCGUGCUGCGGGGAGCCACAGUGCUGUCAGGGUUCAAAGGCUGAUGAGCCAUCCUUCCUCUAAGGAAACGCAUCGCAACCUUUCGGGCCACCAUUCACACCAACCUCCUGGCUUUCCGAUGGCUCUGGUUCAUUUUCAUCUCCUCCAAAUAUCUCCAUCUGUUCUCAGAGGCGCUGAACUGUGCUGUGAGUGUGGGAUGAAAUGCAAAGGGAAAGGGGAAAAAAAAUAUGAUUCCUGUCAGGUAGAUGAAAACUCAGUUUCCCCCCUUCUCCUUCCUGCCUCCUGGAGAACACACCGUAUGUGGAAGGUGACCUUUUGUCUCCUUUCUCUCCGCCCGAGCUGAGAGAGAUUCGGCUGACACAUCCGAUGACAGAUAGAUACCAGCAUGAGCAAAUUGCGCUUGAACUUGCUCCAGAGAAAAUUGUUACAAGGCGCGGGCACAGGCUGGGCUGCAUUAGGGAGAGCACAGAUCACAGUCAAAUGUUUGUGUCAUUUGCAAACGCCACUGCGA
Long non-coding RNA from Cygnus olor (mute swan), 4611 nucleotides. RefSeq lists it as uncharacterized. The transcript has 6 exons. The record is from RefSeq and is a predicted model, not a curated record. Lineage: Eukaryota; Metazoa; Chordata; Aves; Anseriformes; Anatidae.